This 253-nucleotide ribosomal RNA is filed under the name uncultured bacterium. Its description in RNAcentral is "partial 16S ribosomal RNA". It matches the Rfam family "Bacterial small subunit ribosomal RNA", at positions 524 to 776 of the family's 1533-position model. The record is from RNAcentral.
UACGGAGGGUGCAAGCGUUAUCCGGAUUUACUGGGUUUAAAGGGUGCGUAGGCGGGCCCUUAAGUCAGUGGUGAAAGCUCCGAGCUUAACUCGGAAACUGCCAUUGAUACUAUAGGUCUUGAAUUCGGUUGAGGUUGGCGGAAUGUGUCGUGUAGCGGUGAAAUGCUUAGAUAUGACACAGAACACCGAUUGCGAAGGCAGCUAGCUAGACCGACAUUGACGCUGAGGCACGAAAGCGUGGGGAUCAAACAGG